UACGUAGGGUGCAAGCGUUUAAUCGGAAUUACUGGGCGUAAAGCGUGCGCAGGCGGUUUUCCAAGACAGAUGUGAAAUCCCCGGGCUCAACCUGGGAAUGGCAUUUGUGACUGGAAGGCUAGAGUGUGUCAGAGGGGGGUAGAAUUCCACGUGUAGCAGUGAAAUGCGUAGAGAUGUGGAGGAAUACCGAUGGCGAAGGCAGCCCCCUGGGAUAACACUGACGCUCAUGCACGAAAGCGUGGGGAGCAAACAGG
This 254-nucleotide ribosomal RNA is filed under the name uncultured bacterium. RNAcentral describes it as "partial 16S ribosomal RNA". It matches the Rfam family "Bacterial small subunit ribosomal RNA", at positions 524 to 776 of the family's 1533-position model. The record is from RNAcentral.